AUUGAACGCUGGCGGAAUGCUUUACACAUGCAAGUCGAACGGCAGCACGGGGCAACCUGGUGGCGAGUGGCGAACGGGUGAGUAAUAUAUCGGAACGUGCCCAAUCGUGGGGGAUAACGUAGCGAAAGUUACGCUAAUACCGCAUACGAUCUACGGAUGAAAGCGGGGGAUCGCAAGACCUCGCGCGAAUGGAGCGGCCGAUAUCAGAUUAGGUAGUUGGUGGGGUAAAGGCUCACCAAGCCAACGAUCUGUAGCUGGUCUGAGAGGACGACCAGCCACACUGGAACUGAGACACGGUCCAGACUCCUACGGGAGGCAGCAGUGGGGAAUUUUGGACAAUGGGCGCAAGCCUGAUCCAGCCAUUCCGCGUGCAGGAUGAAGGCCUUCGGGUUGUAAACUGCUUUGUACGGAACGAAACGGUCUGCCCUAAUACGGCGGGCUAAUGACGGUACCGUAAGAAUAAGCACCGGCUAACUACGUGCCAGCAGCCGCGGUAAAGUACC
RNAcentral lists this ribosomal RNA (503 nucleotides) under uncultured bacterium. RNAcentral describes it as "bacterial SSU rRNA". It matches the Rfam family "Bacterial small subunit ribosomal RNA", at positions 30 to 526 of the family's 1533-position model. The record is from RNAcentral.